AGAUAGACGAAAACCAACUACUUUCAUGUGUCUUCUACCUCUCUCUGCCCCCAGUACAAUUACGUACGAAGAACACUGCGGAUAGCGAGAUCUCGUGCAUCUUCUCAUCGUUGUUCGAAAUCAAGCGCCCAGAUCGUUGUUCCAUGGAGGAAUUGUGCAAUUUUGUAUAGAUUCCAAGAUGUCCAACCUUAGCUCUUAAGAUAAUACAAAAUUUGAAUUUGGAAUUGGUCCUGAUUUUCCCCCAUUUUCCCAAAAGACCUCCGCUGUUUAAAUCCCAUUCUAAUUUUUUGAUAGAGGCUGGGGGAAGUAUGGGAAAAGAUUUUCGGGUAGAGAGAUUUUUGGGAGGUAGGAAAAUUUGUAGAUAUAAAAUACAUAGAAUUUAAGUAAAACGGCAAGAACAUAUUGCAAAACACAUCAAAGAAAACGGUCCAGUUUCUGAGAAGGCUAGUUGUUGGUUUGACUUGUAAAUUUCCGCAAGGAUUUCUUGUUUGUGAUUUCACUUUAAUGGUGGAAGGAUUACAAGUGCUAGCUCGCUGUCUCUGUUUGUUGUAACGGAAAAGAGAGCCGCCAAGUCUCAAAUUCCUCUAUCGAGUCAAGCUGACCAGACGACGUACGAACCGAGAAGUUGAAGAUUUUUGCUUGGAAAGCCCAAUUUGUUUCCCUGAACUACGUAUUUUGUUAUUUUUGGGUCUAAGCCCUUUUUUCCUUUAUCAAUAUUGUAUUGUUAGAAUUUCAGAACCUGGGGAUAUGGGCUAAAGGCCCAAAACAAGUUUUAGCCUAUGUUUUAGCCUAUCAAUAUUGUUGUUUUUGAAUAUGUUUCUCUAUUUGAAGAUGUUCUAGCCUACUCUUUUGGGUAACUUUCUAAAAAUCCUUAAGCAUAAAUAUCAAGUUAACUAUCAAAAAGCGUCCAUAUACUCUCGAG
This 922-nucleotide long non-coding RNA is filed under the name Solanum lycopersicum (tomato). Its description in RNAcentral is "partial TCONS_00143617". Lineage: Eukaryota; Viridiplantae; Streptophyta; Magnoliopsida; Solanales; Solanaceae. The record is from RNAcentral.